RNAcentral lists this ribosomal RNA (699 nucleotides) under Pseudomonas sp. RNAcentral's name for it is "bacterial SSU rRNA". It matches the Rfam family "Bacterial small subunit ribosomal RNA", at positions 95 to 790 of the family's 1533-position model. Lineage: Bacteria; Pseudomonadati; Pseudomonadota; Gammaproteobacteria; Pseudomonadales; Pseudomonadaceae. The record is from RNAcentral.
GCGGAGGACGGGUGAGUAAUGCCUAGGAAUCUGCCUGGUAGUGGGGGACAACGUCUCGAAAGGGACGCUAAUACCGCAUACGUCCUACGGGAGAAAGCAGGGGACCUUCGGGCCUUGCGCUAUCAGAUGAGCCUAGGUCGGAUUAGCUAGUUGGUGAGGUAAUGGCUCACCAAGGCGACGAUCCGUAACUGGUCUGAGAGGAUGAUCAGUCACACUGGAACUGAGACACGGUCCAGACUCCUACGGGAGGCAGCAGUGGGGAAUAUUGGACAAUGGGCGAAAGCCUGAUCCAGCCAUGCCGCGUGUGUGAAGAAGGUCUUCGGAUUGUAAAGCACUUUAAGUUGGGAGGAAGGGUUGUAGAUUAAUACUCUGCAAUUUUGACGUUACCGACAGAAUAAGCACCGGCUAACUCUGUGCCAGCAGCCGCGGUAAUACAGAGGGUGCAAGCGUUAAUCGGAAUUACUGGGCGUAAAGCGCGCGUAGGUGGUUUGUUAAGUUGGAUGUGAAAGCCCCGGGCUCAACCUGGGAACUGCAUUCAAAACUGACAAGCUAGAGUAUGGUAGAGGGUGGUGGAAUUUCCUGUGUAGCGGUGAAAUGCGUAGAUAUAGGAAGGAACACCAGUGGCGAAGGCGACCACCUGGACUGAUACUGACACUGAGGUGCGAAAGCGUGGGGAGCAAACAGGAUUAGAUACCCUGG